Molecule: ribosomal RNA, 620 nt
Filed under: Cortinarius anomalovelatus
Lineage: Eukaryota; Fungi; Basidiomycota; Agaricomycetes; Agaricales; Cortinariaceae
Description: eukaryotic LSU rRNA
Rfam family: Eukaryotic large subunit ribosomal RNA
Source: RNAcentral
GUGACCUCAAAUCAGGUAGGACUACCCGCUGAACUUAAGCAUAUCAAUAAGCGGAGGAAAAGAAACUAACAAGGAUUCCCCUAGUAACUGCGAGUGAAGCGGGAAAAGCUCAAAUUUAAAAUCUGUCAGUCUUUGGCUGUCCGAGUUGUAAUCUAGAGAAGUGUUAUCUGCGUUGGACCGUGUACAAGUCUCCUGGGAUGGAGCGUCAUAGAGGGUGAGAAUCCCGUCUUUGACACGGACUACCAAGGCUUUGUGAUGCGCUCUCAAAGAGUCGAGUUGUUUGGGAAUGCAGCUCAAAAUGGGUGGUAAAUUCCAUCUAAAGCUAAAUAUUGGCGAGAGACCGAUAGCGAACAAGUACCGUGAGGGAAAGAUGAAAAGAACUUUGGAAAGAGAGUUAAACAGUACGUGAAAUUGCUGAAAGGGAAACGCUUGAAGUCAGUCGCGUUGUCCAGGGAUCAACCUUGCUUUUGCUUGGUGUACUUUCUGGUUAACGGGUCAACAUCAAUUUUGAUCAUUGGAAAAAAGUUAAGGGAAUGUGGCAUCUUUGGAUGUGUUAUAGCCUUUGAUUGUAUACAAUGGUUGGGAUUGAGGAACUCAGCACCGCCGCAAGGCCCGGGUUU